This 470-nucleotide ribosomal RNA is filed under the name uncultured bacterium. RNAcentral describes it as "bacterial SSU rRNA". It matches the Rfam family "Bacterial small subunit ribosomal RNA", at positions 8 to 466 of the family's 1533-position model. The record is from RNAcentral.
AGAGUUUGAUCCUGGCUCAGAUUGAACGCUGGCGACGUGCUUAACACAUGCAAGUCGUGCGAGAAAGGAGACUUCGGUCUCUGAGUAGAGCGGCGCACGGGUGAGUAACGCGUGGAUGAUCUACCCUUGAGUUCGGGAUAACGGUGCGAAAGCGCCGCUAAUACCGUAUAACAAUCCAUUUCAUCGUGGGUUCAAAGCAGGCCUCUUCAUGAAAGCUUGCGCUUGGGGAUGAGUCCGCGUCCCAUUAGCUUGUUGGCGGGGUAACGGCCCACCAAGGCUACGAUGGGUAGCUGGUCUGAGAGGAUGAUCAGCCACACUGGAACUGAAACACGGUCCAGACUCCUACGGGAGGCAGCAGUGGGGAAUAUUGCGCAAUGGGGGAAACCCUGACGCAGCGACGUCGUGUGAGGGAAGAAGGCCUUCGGGUCGUAAACCUCUGUCAGAAGGGAAGAACAUCCGGGAGUCGAACA